AUUGAACGCUGGCGGCAGGCCUAACACAUGCAAGUCGAGCGGAUGAAGGGAGCUUGCUCCUGGAUUCAGCGGCGGACGGGUGAGUAAUGCCUAGGAAUCUGCCUGGUAGUGGGGGAUAACGUCCGGAAACGGGCGCUACUACCGCAUACGUCCAGCGGCAGCAAGAUGGGGGUCUUCGGAACUCUCGCUCUCAGAUGAGCCUAGGUGGGAGUAGCUAGCUGGUGGGGUAAAGGCCUACCAAGGCGACUAUCCGUUACUGGUCUGAGUGAAUGGUAAGUCACACUGGAGGGUGAACAGGGUCCAUGGGACUGAGGGAGGCAGCAGUGGGCAAUAUGAGACAGUGGUCGGGAGCAUUAUCCAGUCAGGCGAAGUGUGUGAAGAAGGUGUUCGGAGUGUAAAGCACUUUAAGUUGUGAGGAAGGGCAGUAAGUUAAUACCUUGCUGUUUUGACGUUACCAACAGAAUAAGCACCGGCUAACUACGUG
RNAcentral lists this ribosomal RNA (484 nucleotides) under uncultured bacterium. RNAcentral's name for it is "partial 16S ribosomal RNA". It matches the Rfam family "Bacterial small subunit ribosomal RNA", at positions 30 to 507 of the family's 1533-position model. The record is from RNAcentral.